This 291-nucleotide unclassified non-coding RNA is filed under the name uncultured fungus. Its description in RNAcentral is "partial contains small subunit ribosomal RNA, internal transcribed spacer 1, and 5.8S ribosomal RNA". The stretch from base 1 to 73 matches the Rfam family "Eukaryotic small subunit ribosomal RNA", at positions 1759 to 1831 of the family's 1831-position model. The record is from RNAcentral. Lineage: Eukaryota; Fungi.
GCAAACUUGGUCAUUUAGAGGAAGUAAAAGUCGUAACAAGGUUUCCGUAGGUGAACCUGCGGAAGGAUCAUUAGAAAAUAGCCAGCCUGGCUGGCAUAUAAUUCUAUCCCACCUUGUGUGCAAGCAAUGGAAAAAUGGAGAGAAUAUUGGAUACCUUUUUGUAUCCAACCUCUCUAAAGUUUUUACAAACUCCAUCAAAUUUUGAAAUGAAAACUAUUUUUUUAAUAAAAAAAAUAUUAUACAACUUUCAACAACGGAUCUCUUGGCUCUCGCAUCGAUGAAGAACGCAGC